AUAAAUACAUACACGGCACAAAGUGGAUGCCUUGACUCGAAUAUCCGAUGAAGGACGCGCAAGACUGCGAUAAGCCUGGGUAAGUUGUCACGAAACGUUACAGCCCAGGAUUUCCGAAUGGGGGAACCCUAUCCAUCAAGAUGGAUAACCUGAUUAGGAGGACACCAGCCGAAUUGAAAUAUCUUAGUAAGCUGGGAAAAGAAAUCAACCGAGAUUCCGAAAGUAGUGGCGAGCGAAAUUGGAACAGCCCAAACCUGUACGGUGCCAAGGAUGAGCCCGUUGCCGUACGGGGGUUACACGACAUAUCACCGCAAAGCUCAUAUAGCGAUACUGAUAUAUAAUUACAGAAAAAUUACCUGGAAAGGUAGGCCAAAGAGGGUAAUAGCCCCGUAUUCGAAAUAAUCUGUAUAUUUGGUACGAUAUGCUCGUAAGUAGUAUCGGACACGUGAAAUCCGGUAUGAAGUUAGGUCGACCACGAUCUAAGGCUAAAGAGUAUUCGAGAUCGAUAGUGAACAAGUACUGUGAAGGAAAGGUAAAAAGAACCCCGGGAGGGGAGUGAAAUAGAUCCUGAAACUUUGUGCUUACAAAGAGUCGGAGCGCUUCGGCGUGACGGCGUGCCUUUUGGAGAAGGAACCAACGACUUACGUAUACGUGGCAAGGUUAAGACAGAUAUAGUCGGAGCCGAAGGGAAACCAAGUCUGAAUAGGGCGAUUUUAGUCACGUAUAGUAAACCCGAAACCCGUGUGAGCUAUUCAUGGCCAGGCUGAAGGUGGGGUAACACCUACUGGAGGGCCGAACCAAUUGGAGCUGCAAGUCCACUGGAUGAGCUGUGAAUAGGAGUGAAAAGCUAAUCGAACCGGGAGAUAGCUGGCUCUCCGCGAAAUAUAUUUAGGUAUAGCGUAUAAUAGUAACCAAGAGGGGUAGGGCUCUGAUAAGACUAGCGGGUUUAUUCCAACUUAGCAAAUCUUGAUAAACUUCGAAUACUCUUGGCGGAAUAUUAUACAGUCGGACAGUGACGGAUAAGCGCCAUUGUCAAAAGGGAAACAGCCCAGAUUCCUAUCUAAGGUCCCCAAGUUAUAACUCAGUGGAAAAGGAUGUGCGAUUACUAAGACAGCCAGGAUGUUGGCUUAGAAGCAGCCACUCAUUCAAAGAGUGCGUAAUAGCUCACUGGUCGAGUGAUUGUGCGCCGAAAAUUCAGCGGGGCUUAAGUUAUACACCGAAGAUGGAAGAUUUAUACAUUAGUAUGGAUCGGUAGCGGAGCGUUCUGUAGGCCUGUGAAGCAGUUGGGUAACCACCUGUGGAGGUAUCAGAAGUGCAAAUGUUGGUAUGAGUAACGUAAUGGAGGUGAAAACCCUCCACACCGAAUACCCAAGGUUUCCUGUCCUACGUCAGUCGUGGCAGGGUUAGUCGGUCCUAAGGUGCACCCGAAAGGGGCAAGCCGAUGGAUAUCUGGUUAAUAUUCCAGAACUAUAUACAAGAGGUUAUUACCUAUGUGGGGACGCAUCGCGAAUAUCGGACACUCUCAUGGAUAUGAGUGAAGAGUAAUGCUUUUGGUUGUGUAGGCAAAUCCGCACAACAAUACAAGAGGGUUAUGAUUCCUUACCCAAUACUUCUUCGGAAGGGAUAAGUAAGGUCCUGUGAUAUGAAGGUGCCAAGAAAAGCCACUCUGGGACGAAUGUAUAUAACCGUACCGUAAUCGAACACUCGUGGGUGGAUGUGAGUACAUUAAGGUGGACGGGAUAACUGAGCUUAAGGAACUCUGCAAAACAGCGGUCGUAACUUCGGGAUAAGACCUGCCUCCUCAGCAUUUAUCUGAGAGGCCGCAGCUAACGAGUCCAGGCGACUGUUUACCAAAAACACAGCUCCGUGCUAAAUCGCAAGAUGAUGUAUACGGGGUGAUGCCUGUCCGGUGCCAGAAGAUCACGGGGAGGGGUGCAAGCUCUGAACCUAAGUCCUGGUGAACGACGGCCGUAACUAUAACGGUCCUAAGGUAGCGAAAUUCCUUGUCGGGUAAGUUCCG
Molecule: ribosomal RNA, 2020 nt
Filed under: human oral metagenome
Description: bacterial LSU rRNA
Rfam family: Bacterial large subunit ribosomal RNA
Source: RNAcentral